Molecule: long non-coding RNA, 241 nt
Organism: Empidonax traillii (willow flycatcher)
Lineage: Eukaryota; Metazoa; Chordata; Aves; Passeriformes; Tyrannidae
Exons: 3
Source: RefSeq, a predicted model, not a curated record
UGCAGCUGCAGGACGGGCGGUUCGAGCAGGCCCUGCGGGAGCAGCGGGAUGAGAUCCACCUGCUCCUGGAGAGGAUGGAGGAGCAGACCAGGAAUGUGCUCCAAACCCUCCGGAGCAACCUCCGGCACAUCGAGGAGGCUUUGGAGCAGGAACGGCGGGAAAUGCUGGAGAGCGGCAGGAAAAGGUGGAAUGAGACCAUCCGGGCCCACAACGAGCGGCAGCUGGAAUGGCUGCGGGGCCG